Long non-coding RNA from Mustela erminea (ermine), 1984 nucleotides. RefSeq lists it as uncharacterized. The record is from RefSeq and is a predicted model, not a curated record. Lineage: Eukaryota; Metazoa; Chordata; Mammalia; Carnivora; Mustelidae. The transcript has 6 exons.
AGGCGCCCGUGCCUCGCCAGUGGGCGGUUUCCCCCGGCGGCGGGAUGUUCUCUGGAAGGAGCCACGGAGUUGCGAAGAAGUCCACCCAGAAGGUGCCGGACCCCAAGAAGGACGGGCUGACGCGCCUGAAGCACCUGCGAGCGCUGCUGGGUGGUAUCCAUGAAAUCAUUGCCCAAUCCUGUUUUGUGAAGCUGACGAAGAUGAAUGCUGCGGAGCUCCGAAUUCAGAGAUGAAAUAGGAUCAUUGGUGGAGGCAGGCAGCAUCAUGAACUGGGAAGCAUAGGCCUGAUGCUGGGGUCCUGGCCAGAUGCAAUGGCGCGAUGAUAGGAAUAGGUAUGGUGGGCGAGCAGGAGCCGUGUCCUGGAAAUGGUACCCUGCCCAUUUGGGGCACUACCUGUGUGGUGAUGGGGGCAGUGAGACAUAGGACUGGACAUGUCCCUAAGCUCAGCCCCUCUUCAACGGGAGCCUUUUAUUGCACCCUGCUCCAGUCCUGUUUGAAGGGUUUCUUAAUCCGACGAGGGACAUAGACUUCUUCCACGACAAAGGAUGAUGAUAGUGGUGUGGUGACACCUGUCUCCGAGGAACUUCUCAUCCCUCUAUCGUGAGCCACUGUGACAAGUGAGCCACUGUCUGGAGUGAGUUGCCAAGAAGGUUUGAGUGACUCAAAGACACUGGGAGCAACCUCCAAGAGGGACCAGUCUGUCAUUGCCAUGCUGAGCUGAAUUCAGGUCGCAUCCAUGAAAUCAUUGCCCACUCCUGUUUUGUGAAGCUGACGAAGAUGAAUGCUGCGGAGCUCCAAAUUCAGAGAUGAAACAGGAUCAUUGGUGGAGGCAGGCAGCAGCAUGAACUGGAGAAGCACAGGCCUGAUGCUGGGUUCCUGGCCAGAUGCUAUGGCACGAGAUAGGAAUAGGUACGGUGGGCGAGCAGGAGCCAUGUACUGGAAAUGGUACCCUGCCCAUUUGGGACACCACCUGUGUGGUGAUGGGAGCAGUGAGACAUAGAACUGGACAUGUCCCCAAGCUCAUCCCUUCUUCAAAGGGAGCCUUUUAUUGCACUCUGCUCCAGUCCUGUUUGAAGGAUUUCUUAAUCCAAGGAGGGACAUAGACUUCUUCCAUGACAAAGGGUGAUGAUAGUGGUGUGGUGACACCUGUCUCCAAGGAACUUCUCAUCCCUCUAUCGUGAGCCACUGUGACAGGUGAGCCACUUUGUGGUGUCAGUAACCAAGAAGGUUCGAAUGACUCAAGGACAUUGGGAGCAAGCUCCAAGAGGGACCAAUCUGUCAUUGCCAUGCUGAACUGAAUUCAGAUAAUAUCUGAAGGAGUCAAGCUGUUUCUUCUGUAGCUUCAAGCACUUCAGACAAACUGUGCAGUAGAGCAGGUGCUUUUUGCUUGCCUUGUGCCUGGUUUCCCAGUGAUCAUGUCAUCCAGAGGGACCUGCACGGUGGAGACAUUCAUCAGUCCUAACCCUGGUGUGGUGGAUGGUACUUGAUCCUUAGGCUGACCAAAGCAGAAUUUGGCAGAGAGAAGAAUGGUUUAGAGGGAAAGGUGGCUUCAUGGGACUUUGUACCAUAUUUCCAAGCCCUGGAUGCUCACUGGCCUGGAGUGUAGUGUGAGCAGGUCCCAAAGGAGGGGCAGAUGUAUUUUAAUGGAGGCCAUUUUUUAAAAACCCUUUGAACGUUGGUGAAAGAACUCCUUUUUUCCCCACUCUGGAGUAAGGAUAUAUGCACGAGAAAUCACUCCGCUCUUGCCGGCCAUAUCAGGGGAAAGGAUCGCUGAGGGCCAAACAUGCUUUUUUCUUCAAGUACUAUUGAACUAUAUGGUUAUUCAGCUCAGUGGUGCCAAUUUGCCCUUCUCCAAAAAGUUCAAAACAGACAAUACAAGAAUAGAACAAAAUGGAUUGAAAAGAGAAAACUUUGCCACCAAGCCCUGGUAAUGUCAGGUCUACUUAACUGUGUUGUACAAAUUCAGUACAAUGGUAUUUUUAUA